GUCACUUUGUGUUUGUUCAACUGGCAAACAAAGGCAUGAAAGACAGGUGAAAAAAUGAACCUUUUGUAAUGCAGAAUUCAUUGUUCAUUGCUCAUUGUGUAUGAGUUCUGAUACAUACAGGCAGGAAUAUG
This is a small nucleolar RNA of Nannospalax galili (Upper Galilee mountains blind mole rat), 131 nucleotides long. RefSeq annotates it as small nucleolar RNA SNORA40. Lineage: Eukaryota; Metazoa; Chordata; Mammalia; Rodentia; Spalacidae. The transcript has a single exon. The record is from RefSeq and is a predicted model, not a curated record.